RNAcentral lists this ribosomal RNA (253 nucleotides) under uncultured bacterium. Its description in RNAcentral is "partial 16S ribosomal RNA". It matches the Rfam family "Bacterial small subunit ribosomal RNA", at positions 524 to 776 of the family's 1533-position model. The record is from RNAcentral.
UACGUAGGGUGCGAGCGUUAAUCGGAAUUACUGGGCGUAAAGCGUGCGCAGGCGGCUAUGCAAGACAGAUGUGAAAUCCCCGGGCUCAACCUGGGAAUGGCGAUGGAGACUGCGAGGCUAGAGUUUGGCAGAGGGGGGUAGAAUUCCACGUGUAGCAGUGAAAUGCGUAGAGAUGUGGAGGAACACCGAUGGCGAAGGCAGCCCCCUGGGUCAAAACUGACGCUCAUGCACGAAAGCGUGGGGAGCAAACAGG